RNAcentral lists this ribosomal RNA (484 nucleotides) under uncultured bacterium. RNAcentral's name for it is "partial 16S ribosomal RNA". It matches the Rfam family "Bacterial small subunit ribosomal RNA", at positions 30 to 507 of the family's 1533-position model. The record is from RNAcentral.
AUUGAACGCUGGCGGCAGGCCUAACACAUGCAAGUCGAGCGGAUGAAGGGAGCUUGCUCCUGGAUUCAGCGGCGGACGGGUGAGUAAUGCCUAGGAAUCUGCCUGGUAGUGGGGGAUAACGUCCGGAAACGGGCGCUAAUACCGCAUACGUCCUGAGGGAGAAAGUGGGGGAUCUUCGGACCUCACGCUAUCAGAUGAGCCUAGGUCGGAUUAGCUAGUUGGUGGGGUAAAGGCCUACCAAGGCGACGAUCCGUAACUGGUCUGAGAGGAUGAUCAGUCAAACUGGAAAUGAGAAAAGGUCCAGAAUCCUAAGGGAGGCAGGAGUGGGGAAUAUUGGACAAUGGGGGAAAGCCUGAUCCAGCCAUGCCGCGUGUGUGAAGAGGGUCUUCGGAUUGUAAAGCACCUUAAGUUGGGAGGAAGGGCAGUAAGUUAAUACCUUGCUGUUUUGACGUUACCAAACGAAUAAGCAACGGCUAAAUUCGUG